RNAcentral lists this ribosomal RNA (497 nucleotides) under uncultured bacterium. RNAcentral's name for it is "partial 16S ribosomal RNA". It matches the Rfam family "Bacterial small subunit ribosomal RNA", at positions 28 to 507 of the family's 1533-position model. The record is from RNAcentral.
GAUGAACGCUGGCGGCGUGCCUAAUACAUGCAAGUCGAGCGAACAGACGAGGAGCUUGCUCCUCUGACGUUAGCGGCGGACGGGUGAGUAACACGUGGAUAACCUACCUAUAAGACUGGGAUAACUUCGGGAAACCGGAGCUAAUACCGGAUAAUAUAUUGAACCGCAUGGUUCAAUAGUUAAAGACGGUUUUGCUGUCACUUAUAGAUGGAUCCGCGCCGCAUUAGCUAGUUGGUAAGGUAACGGCUUACCAAGGCGACGAUGCGUAGCCGACCUGAGAGGGUGAUCGGCCACACUGGAACUGAGACACGGUCCAGACUCCUACGGGAGGCAGCAGUAGGGAAUCUUCCGCAAUGGGCGAAAGCCUGACGGAGCAACGCCGCGUGAGUGAUGAAGGUCUUCGGAUCGUAAAACUCUGUUAUUAGGGAAGAACAAAUGUGUAGGUAACUAUGCACGUCUUGACGGUACCUAAUCAGAAAGCCACGGCUAACUACGUG